This 247-nucleotide long non-coding RNA is filed under the name Lactuca sativa (garden lettuce). RNAcentral describes it as "long non-coding RNA (LSAT_LNC009050)". The record is from RNAcentral. Lineage: Eukaryota; Viridiplantae; Streptophyta; Magnoliopsida; Asterales; Asteraceae.
GGGGAGUAAACUCCAUUUUAAGGUCCUAAAGUGUUCCAAUGUCCUUCAAAGCUUUAGAACUCGAACUAGAACCCACCAUUGCAUGUUUAGGACACCAAAAUCAAUUAGAAACAAUGAUGAAAGUGAGUUCACGGCCAAGGAGCUUCUUGGGCCGUGAACUCCAUGUUUAGGUGCCAAAAUGCCGUGAACUCCAUGUUUAGGUCCCAGGGCCGUAAACCCCUAUAAAGGGGGAAAAUGUCACCCAAAC